Molecule: ribosomal RNA, 207 nt
Filed under: uncultured bacterium
Lineage: Bacteria
Description: partial 16S ribosomal RNA
Rfam family: Bacterial small subunit ribosomal RNA
Source: RNAcentral
UGCCCUUCCUACGGGAGGCAGCAGUGGGGAAUUUUGGACAAUGGGGGCAACCCUGAUCCAGCCAUCCCGCGUGUGCGAUGAAGGCCUUCGGGUUGUAAAGCACUUUUGGCAGGGAAGAAAAGCCGCGGGUUAAUACCCUGCGGUGCUGACGGUACCUGCAGAAUAAGCACCGGCUAACUACGUGCCAGCAGCCGCGGUAAUAAGGGC